Lepidothrix coronata (blue-crowned manakin) is the source of this 465-nucleotide long non-coding RNA. RefSeq lists it as uncharacterized. NCBI's taxonomy places the organism in Eukaryota, Metazoa, Chordata, Aves, Passeriformes, Pipridae. The transcript is spliced from 4 exons. The record is from RefSeq and is a predicted model, not a curated record.
UGUCCUGCAGAAGCAGGGCGGAAGCCAGGGUGUCAGGGAUCUGUCUGGACAGCGGAUUUACAGCCAAGCCCCUAGUGCUUGUGGUCUCAAAGGAAUUAAGGGUUUAGGAGUUUCAUAAACAGAAGCAAGCAGAGGAAAGACAAUUCUUCAGUAACUCCAGUGAAGGGAAAGAGCUAAUUCUGAACAUCUCAGUGCUAACAACUGUGGACUUUAAAAUACACACCGGCUUCAAACUGCCAUCUGCAUCUGAGUACCACACACCUGGGGCUCUGCACAACCCUCAUGCUGGCCAUCAACUUUUUAUGUGGAGUUAGGAAGAAACAAAGGAGGUGGCACUGUUCUAGCCCUGCCCAACAGCACAAGGUGUUCACAUCAGAAGCCAUAGAGAGCAUGGACUUCAAGGAUAUCAGCUUCUGAAGUGCUGGUGACAGGCAGCAGCACCAGCCCAGCAGCAAAUGAAAGAAG